GCCUCGUUAGCGCAGUAGGCAGCGCGUCAGUCUCAUAAUCUGAAGGUAGUGAGUUCGAUCCUCGCACGAGGCA
Molecule: transfer RNA, 73 nt
Filed under: Saccoglossus kowalevskii
Lineage: Eukaryota; Metazoa; Hemichordata; Enteropneusta; Harrimaniidae
Description: tRNA-Met
Rfam family: tRNA
About the family: Transfer RNA (tRNA) molecules are approximately 80 nucleotides in length.
Source: RNAcentral